GGGGUGUUAGAAGAAUUAAAUAUUUGAAAAUGAAUUCUCCUUCACCCACGGAAGUUCACAGAAUUUCAUGAAGUUAUGAAGAAUAAGUUUGUGCAAAACCCUGUCAAUCACUGAUGACUUUUUUGAAAGCACAAAACUAAUGGUACAGAAAAUUUGAAGUCCAAUGGGAACAAAAGCAACAUCUGCUUUCUAAGUGACCUGGGCUGGAGACCGGCUUUCUCCAUGUCAAAAUCUCCAGUGUGUGGCAAGGUAAGGGGAAGGUACAGGCACUUUCAUCAUUGCAGAGGCUUUUAAUAAUACUAAUUUAAUUAUAAUAGAGUAUAA
Molecule: long non-coding RNA, 324 nt
Filed under: Monodelphis domestica (gray short-tailed opossum)
Lineage: Eukaryota; Metazoa; Chordata; Mammalia; Didelphimorphia; Didelphidae
Description: lncRNA (ENSMODG00000038608.1)
Source: RNAcentral